GGUUAAGCGACUAAGCGUACACGGUGGAUGCCCUGGCAGUCAGAGGCGAUGAAGGACGUGCUAAUCUGCGAUAAGCGUCGGUAAGGUGAUAUGAACCGUUAUAACCGGCGAUUUCCGAAUGGGGAAACCCAGUGUGAUUCGUCACACUAUCAUUACGUGAAUACAUAGCGUAAUGAAGCGAACCGGGGGAACUGAAACAUCUAAGUACCCCGAGGAAAAGAAAUCAACCGAGAUUCCCCCAGUAGCGGCGAGCGAACGGGGAGCAGCCCAGAGUCUGAAUCAGCUUGUGUGUUAGUGGAACGGUCUGGAAAGUCCGACGGUACAGGGUGAUAGUCCCGUACACCAAAAUGCACAGGUUGUGAACUCGAAGAGUAGGGCGGGACACGUGGUAUCCUGUCUGAAUAUGGGGGGACCAUCCUCCAAGGCUAAAUACUCCUGACUGACCGAUAGUGAACCAGUACCGUGAGGGAAAGGCGAAAAGAACCCCGGCGAGGGGAGUGAAAAAGAACCUGAAACCGU
This 519-nucleotide ribosomal RNA is filed under the name Citrobacter freundii. RNAcentral's name for it is "partial 23S ribosomal RNA". It matches the Rfam family "Bacterial large subunit ribosomal RNA", at positions 1 to 559 of the family's 2925-position model. The record is from RNAcentral. Lineage: Bacteria; Pseudomonadati; Pseudomonadota; Gammaproteobacteria; Enterobacterales; Enterobacteriaceae.